Molecule: ribosomal RNA, 267 nt
Filed under: uncultured bacterium
Lineage: Bacteria
Description: partial 16S ribosomal RNA
Rfam family: Bacterial small subunit ribosomal RNA
Source: RNAcentral
UACGUAGGGUGCAAGCGUUGUCCGGAAUUAUUGGGCGUAAAGAGCUCGUAGGCGGUCUGUCGCGUCGGAUGUGAAAAUCAGGGCUCAACCCUGGACCUGCAUUCGAUACGGGCAGACUAGAGUUCGGUAGGGGAGACUGGAAUUCCUGGUGUAGCGGUGAAAUGCGCAGAUAUCAGGAGGAACACCGAUGGCGAAGGCAGGUCUCUGGGCAUUAACUGACGCUGAGGAGCGAAACGCAUGGGGAGCGAACAGGAUUAGACUACCCAG